Ochotona curzoniae (black-lipped pika) is the source of this 2053-nucleotide long non-coding RNA. RefSeq lists it as uncharacterized. The record is from RefSeq and is a predicted model, not a curated record. Lineage: Eukaryota; Metazoa; Chordata; Mammalia; Lagomorpha; Ochotonidae. The transcript has 5 exons.
CCCUGCCGGGUGCGCAGCAGCCCCCAGCAGCUCCUUGUGUGUGUGUCUCUUGGUUUUGAGGGAUGCCCCUGCACUUUCUGGACUUGCAGGAUGACUUACAUGAUUGUUGGUUAGGCGAGUUUCCAAGGUUACGACUGACAACCAAAUAUCCCCAAAGACUGAUAACACCAGGAAGAAAGAUGCUAAGGGCAAUUUCGUCUUUUGGAAAUUCACAUCCGCCAUUCACGCACAGAACCAGUCGGCUCACGUGGACUGUGUCUCCAGUUCAGCUCAAGGCCAGGUAUUAUCAGCUGCACCAAGAGCCACACGCUUGACUAGGUGCGUGAACCCGCAAGCACGCCGACAGAUGGCUAAAUGAAGUGUCCGUCGCAGAUGCAGCCUGGCCUCUGAAAAUGAGACCGCUCUGUCAGCCGCAUCAUCCGUGGCCAGGAUAUUACAAAGCAUGGAGCUGGACUCCACGGAGCCUGUUUCUGCCCCGGAUAUCUGCGCCGGGUGCACUGCUGUCACGGUGACGGCCAAGGCCGACUUUGACAUUCACAGAGAGGCCAUGGCCUGGGGGAAGCUGUGGGCUGGACUCUAAAGUGGUAUUUAAAGUCUUCUGAACAAUCUGGAAUAAUAGCUUAAUAAAGGAGAAAGAAGGUAAGAAAAGAAAUCUGACAUCCAUACUAUUUUUUAAUUCUUUGAAAGAUAAAGAAACAGAAGUCACAAGGACGAGGAGGAGGGGGUAGCGAGGCAAUCAGCCCCCAUGCGCUGCUGUCCACUCACGCGCUCGCAAGGCCAGCCGCCCCAGAGAGCCAGCAUGUGCUGCAUGCCAGCGUGUGUGCUAGCCGGAAGCUAAAACUGGGACUCGAACCCACAUGCUGCAGUGUGGCGUGCCAGCAUCGUAACUGCGGGGCCGACUGCCAGCCUGACACUGGCGCUCCGCGUCGGCUGAGACGAGUCAUUUUGCUUUUGCCGUGGAAGACGUCUCUGACGGCUGCUUUUACCGAGCGGGCUCUGAUCUCCAUGCUCUCUUGUGCAUCGGCUUCUGUGCCUUGCAGUUUCCUGAAACGAAUCAAUCAUGGUGGCGCACUGCUCUCACACGGGACGAGACUGGCUGCAGGGAGACCCCAGCAGGAGACCCCGAGCCGGGCUCGCAGGGCAGUUGUGGGAAAAGCACAUUAGCUCCCCUCCCCAGGGUGGGCGUGUCUCGCUGGGCAGACCCUUGUUUCUAGACUGUUCCCCAGCGACAGCCAGGCUGCACUGAGCCGUGGAAGCCUCUCUGGAUUGAAAAGCCAGGUCCCGCUGCCCUCGGUGCUGCCUUUGUUCUUUUCUCCAUACGUUGCACACAAGGCUGCUUGUUCAUGAAUAUUCUCAUUUCUCUGACCUUCUCUCCCGUCUCCCAGGAUAUGAUACCCCAGCCUCUGCCGGGUCAGGAUGCGUCCUCGGCCAGCUGGAGCCCACACUGUGGAUGGCGACACGGUUAAGCACUGCACCGCAGCCUCCCCGGGGGCGACACUGACACGGGCCAGCACUGCGGGUGCUGGGUGCUGUCCGAGAGCCACGUGCACAAUGCCAGCUUGCGGCGUGCAGGUAAGCAGAGCCUCUGCAGGGGCACGCACAGACACACGGAGGGCCUCUCGGCAGAAACAAAAGGAGGGCUGCAGCCGAGCCGGCCAGAAUCUCAUGCGAAUGCAAAUUGGCAUCUUUUGGUCGCUGCUGAAAUAAAGGUGUAAGUGGCUCCAGGAAUGCUGAGAAUCUGGCUCAUUCUGCCUGCUCACCCCCAGUCUGGCCUGUCCGUGAGCUGGCCGGGAUUCUUGGGGACCAGUUAACGCAGCUAACCUGAUGCUCAUCUUCUGUGGGUUUUUAUAGGGUCUGCAUGGAGUGCUUAAACACCUUUGUGAGUCCCUGAGGGUAGGCGGAAGGGUUAAACAUCCACCAGCCCCCCUCUCCUAGGCAACUGGGAGGUGUGUGUGGUGUCAGUGGGAGGCGUGGGGCAGGCUCACAGCAGAUGGCAGCCCUGCUGCUGGUGACCUGCCUGAUGAUGAAAUCCUUCUAGGCCUUUCUUCAGCUC